AGUGAACGCUGGCGGUAGGCCUAACACAUGCAAGUCGAACGGCAGCACAGUAAGAGCUUGCUCUUACGGGUGUCGAGUGUGGGACGGGGGAGGAAUACAUCGGAAUCUACUUUUUCGGGGGGGAUAACGUAGGGAAACGUACUCGAAUACCGCAUACGACCUACGGGUGAAAGCAGGGGAUCUUCGGACCUUGCGCGAGUGAAUGAGCCGAUGUUGGAUUAGCUAGUUGGCGGGGUAAAGGGGCACCAAGGCGACGAUGCGUAGCUGGUCUGAGAGGAAGGUUCGCCAGCCUGGCACUGAGGCACGGUCCCGACUCCUACGGGAGGACGCAGUGGGGACUCUUGGACGAUGGGGCAAAGCCUGAUCCUGCCAUACCGGCUGGGUCAAGAAGGACCUCGGGCUGUUAAGCCCUUUUGUUGGGAAAGAAAAGCAGCAGGUUUAUACCCCGCUGUUCUGACGGUACCCAAAGAAUAAGCACCGGCUAACUUCGUG
Molecule: ribosomal RNA, 492 nt
Filed under: uncultured bacterium
Lineage: Bacteria
Description: partial 16S ribosomal RNA
Rfam family: Bacterial small subunit ribosomal RNA
Source: RNAcentral